GGGUCAGCGUUAGCUCAAGCAGUUACUUCCUCACACUGGACUUUCCAUCCAUCCAAUCCCUGCACUGGGGUUCGAGACCCAUGGGUGCUUUCUGAACCUUCA
This 102-nucleotide vault RNA is filed under the name Prolemur simus (greater bamboo lemur). RNAcentral describes it as "Vault RNA (ENSPSMG00000024797.1)". It matches the Rfam family "Vault RNA". From Rfam's summary of the family: This family of RNAs are found as part of the enigmatic vault ribonucleoprotein complex. The record is from Rfam by way of RNAcentral. Lineage: Eukaryota; Metazoa; Chordata; Mammalia; Primates; Lemuridae.